Molecule: ribosomal RNA, 1575 nt
Filed under: Bestiolina similis
Lineage: Eukaryota; Metazoa; Arthropoda; Copepoda; Calanoida; Paracalanidae
Description: SSU rRNA
Rfam family: Eukaryotic small subunit ribosomal RNA
Source: RNAcentral
GGCUCAUUAAAUCACACCUAAUCUACUGGAUAGUAAACAGUUACUUGGAUAACUGCGGUAAUUCUGGAGCUAAUACAUGCAUAAAUCCCCAACUCACGAAGGGGCGCUUUUAUUAGAUCAAAACCAAACGGCUUCGGCUGUACUCUUGGUGAUUCUGAAUAACUUUGGGCUGAUCGCAUAGCCUUGCGCUGGCGACAUAUCCUUCGAAGGUGUGCCCUAUCAACUGUCGACUGUGGCAUAGACGCCCACAGUGGUUUUGACGGGUAACGGGGAAUCAGGGUUCGAUUCCGGAGAGGGAGCCUUAAAAACGGCUACCACAUCUAAGGAAGGCAGCAGGCACGCAAAUUACCCAAUGACCGAAGGUCGAGGUAGUGACGAAAAAUAACGAUAGCGGUCUCAUCCGAGGUACGCUAAUUGGAAUGAGUACACUUUAAAACCGUCCCCGAGGAUCUAUUGGAGGGCAAGUCUGGUGCCAGCAGCCGCGGUAAUUCCAGCUCCAAUAGCGUAUAUUAAAGUUGUUGUGGUUAAAAAGCUCGUAGUUGGAUCUCAACGAUCUUGAAGCGGUCACUAAGUGUUGUACUGCUUUAUAGGUCGUAGUUUUGCUGGAGGUUUAGAGGUGCUCUUGAUCGAGUGUCUCUAGAUGCCAGCAGGUUUACUUUGAAAAAAUUAGAGUGCUCAAAGCAGGCUAUUCCGCCUGAAUAUUCGUGCAUGGAAUAAUAGAAUAGGAUGUCGAUCCUAUUUUGUUGGUUUUCGGGACUCGACAUAAUGAUUAAUAGGGACAGUCGGGGGCAUUUGUAUUCAAACGACAGAGGUGAAAUUCUUGGACCGUUUGAAGACAAACUACUGCGAAAGCAUUUGCCAAGAAUGUUUUCAUUAAUCAAGAACGAAAGUUAGAGGUUCGAAGGCGAUUAGAUACCGCCCUAGUUCUAACCAUAAACGAUGCCAGCUAGCGAUCUGCCGGUGUUUUUACUGUAGACUCGGCAGGAAGCUUCCGGGAAACCAAAGCAUUUGGGUUCCAGGGGAAGUAUGGUUGCAAAGCUGAAACUUAAAGGAAUUGACGGAAGGGCACCACCAGGAGUGGAGCCUGUGGCUUAAUUUGACUCAACACGGGAAAACUCACCAGGCCCGGACACUGGAAGGAUUGACAGAUUGAUAGCUCUUUCUUGAUUCGGUGGGUGGUGGUGCAUGGCCGUUCUUAGUUGGUGGAGUGAUUUGUCUGGUUAAUUCCGAUAACGAACGAGACUCUGUCCUGCUAAAUAGUGUUUACUUCUCUUUUGAGUAAACAUUUCUUCUUAGAGGGACUGGCAACUCUUAGUUGCACGAGAUUGAGCAAUAACAGGUCUGUGAUGCCCUUAGAUGUUCUGGGCCGCACACGCGCUACACUGAAUAGAUCAGCGUGUCACCCUUCCCGAAAGGGACGGGUAAACCGCUGAACCCUAUUCGUGGUAGGGAUCGGGGCUUGCAAUUAUUCCCCGUGAACCAGGAAUUCCCAGUAGGCGCAAGUCAUCAGCUUGCGUCGAUUACGUCCCUGCCCUUUGUACACACCGCCCGUCGCUACUACCGAUUGAACGUUUU